UUGACCUCGGAUCAGGUAGGGAUACCCGCUGAACUUAAGCAUAUCAAUAAGCGGAGGAAAAGAAACCAACAGGGAUUGCCCCAGUAACGGCGAGUGAAGCGGCAAGAGCUCAAAUUUGAAAGCUGGCUCCUUCGGGGUCCGCAUUGUAAUUUGCAGAGGAUGCUUCGGGAGCGGUCCCCAUCUAAGUGCCCUGGAACGGGACGUCAUAGAGGGUGAGAAUCCCGUAUGGGAUGGGGUGUCCGCGCCCGUGUGAAGCUCCUUCGACGAGUCGAGUUGUUUGGGAAUGCAGCUCUAAAUGGGUGGUAAAUUUCAUCUAAAGCUAAAUAUUGGCCGGAGACCGAUAGCGCACAAGUAGAGUGAUCGAAAGAUGAAAAGCACUUUGAAAAGAGAGUUAAAAAGCACGUGAAAUUGUUGAAAGGGAAGCGCUUGCGACCAGACUCGCUCGCGGGGUUCAGCCGGCAUUCGUGCCGGUGUACUUCCCCGCGGGCGGGCCAGCGUCGGUUUGGGCGGUCGGUCAAAGGCCCUCGGAAGGUAACGCCCCUAGGGGCGUCUUAUAGCCGAGGGUGCAAUGCGACCUGCCUAGACCGAGGAACGCGCUUCGGCUCGGACG
This 610-nucleotide ribosomal RNA is filed under the name Penicillium viridicatum. Its description in RNAcentral is "eukaryotic LSU rRNA". It matches the Rfam family "Eukaryotic large subunit ribosomal RNA", at positions 1 to 625 of the family's 3401-position model. The record is from RNAcentral. Lineage: Eukaryota; Fungi; Ascomycota; Eurotiomycetes; Eurotiales; Aspergillaceae.